CUACACAUGCAGUCGAGCGGGGAGGGUAGCUUGCUACCCAACCUAGCGGCGGACGGGUGAGUAAUGCUUAGGAAUCUGCCUAUUAGUGGGGGACAACGUUUCGAAAGGAACGCUAAUACCGCAUACGCCCUACGGGGGAAAGCAGGGGCUCUUCGGACCUUGCGCUAAUAGAUGAGCCUAAGUCAGAUUAGCUAGUUGGUGGGGUAAAGGCCUACCAAGGCGACGAUCUGUAGCGGGUCUGAGAGGAUGAUCCGCCACACUGGGACUGAGACACGGCCCAGACUCCUACGGGAGGCAGCAGUGGGGAAUAUUGGACAAUGGGGGGAACCCUGAUCCAGCCAUGCCGCGUGUGUGAAGAAGGCCUUUUGGUUGUAAAGCACUUUAAGCGAGGAGGAGGCUCCUAUAGAUAAUACCUAUAGUGAGUGGACGUUACUCGCAGAAUAAGCACCGGCUAACUCUGUGCCAGCAGCCGCGGUAAUACAGAGGGUGCGAGCGUUAAUCGGAUUUACUGGGCGUAAAGCGUACGUAGGCGGCUUUUUAAGUCGGAUGUGAAAUCCCUGAGCUUAACU
Molecule: ribosomal RNA, 569 nt
Filed under: bacterium tet-w-10
Lineage: Bacteria
Description: bacterial SSU rRNA
Rfam family: Bacterial small subunit ribosomal RNA
Source: RNAcentral